GUGGGGAAUAUUCCGCAAUGGACGAAAGUCUGACGGAGCAACGCCGCGUGAGUGAUGAAGGUUUUCGGACUGUAAAGCUCUGUUGUUUAGGACGAAAGUGCCUGUUGCGAAUAGUUACAGGUAUUGACGGUACUGAACGAGGAAGCCACGGCUAACUACGUGCCAGCAGCCGCGGUAAUACGUAGGUGGCAAGCGUUGUCCGGAAUUAUUGGGCGUAAAGAGCAUGUAGGCGGGAAUCUAAGUCUGUUGUGAAAAUGCGGGGCUCAACCCCGUAUUGCGAUGGAAACUGGGUUUCUUGAGUGCAGGGGAGGAAAGGGGAAUUCCCAGUGUAGCGGUGAAAUGCGUAGAUAUUGGGAGGAACACCAGUGGCGAAGGCGCCUUUCUGGACUGUGUCUGACGCUGAGAUGCGAAAGCCAGGGUAGCGAACGGGAUUAGAAACCCGAGUAGUCC
RNAcentral lists this ribosomal RNA (450 nucleotides) under uncultured bacterium. Its description in RNAcentral is "partial 16S ribosomal RNA". It matches the Rfam family "Bacterial small subunit ribosomal RNA", at positions 354 to 796 of the family's 1533-position model. The record is from RNAcentral.